UCGGGAAUUUUGGGCAAUGGGCGAAAGCCUGAUCCAGCAAUGCCGCGUGAGUGAAGAAGGCCUUCGGGUUGUAAAGCUCUUUUGUCAGGGAAGAAACGGUGAGAGCUAAUAUCUCUUGCUAAUGACGGUACCUGAAGAAUAAGCACCGGCUAACUACGUGCCAGCAGCCGCGGUAAUACGUAGGGUGCAAGCGUUAAUCGGAAUUACUGGGCGUAAAGCGUGCGCAGGCGGUUUUGUAAGUCUGAUGUGAAAUCCCCGGGCCCAACCUGGGAAUUGCAUUGGAGACUGCAAGGCUAGAAUCUGGCAGAGGGGGGUAGAAUUCCACGUGUAGCAGUGAAAUGCGUAGAUAUGUGGAGGAACACCGAUGGCGAAGGCAGCCCCCUGGGUCAAGAUUGACGCUCAUGCACGAAAGCGUGGGGAGCAAACAGGAUUAGAUACCCCGGUAGUCCCUGAGCGGGCUGGCAAGGCGCAU
This 472-nucleotide ribosomal RNA is filed under the name uncultured bacterium. Its description in RNAcentral is "bacterial SSU rRNA". It matches the Rfam family "Bacterial small subunit ribosomal RNA", at positions 355 to 825 of the family's 1533-position model. The record is from RNAcentral.